RNAcentral lists this ribosomal RNA (196 nucleotides) under uncultured bacterium. RNAcentral's name for it is "partial 16S ribosomal RNA". It matches the Rfam family "Bacterial small subunit ribosomal RNA", at positions 1304 to 1500 of the family's 1533-position model. The record is from RNAcentral.
GCUGCAACUCGCCUGCNCGAAGUUGGAAUUGCUGUAAUCGUGGAUCAGCAUGCCACGGUGAAUACGUUCCCGGGUCUUGUACACACCGCCCGUCACACCAUGGGAGCCGGUAAUACCCGAAGUCAGUAGUCUAACCGCAAGGAGGACGCUGCCGAAGGUAGGAUUGGCGACUGGGGUGAAGUCGUAACAAGGUAGC